GUUUACUGGGUCUAACCCAUCGGUUAGCUUCUAAGCUUUGAGAUCCUUAGAAGAAUAACACGGAGGAACUGCAGGGCUGUUUGUGAAUGUGAGCCUCGCUGCCUUUCCUCAGAUUGUGUGGAUGUGGGCCUCACCCCAACCGACAGCCUGCAUUCAAGUAGUGCUGCUUUUGUUUUAUUCACGCCUGUGCUUAGAUGCUGGUGCGGCGGGCUUGGAAAGACAAGGGGUCAAUGGACGGGAAAUGCUUUCAUCGCGCCUGACUCUUUGACUCCAGUCCGCCAUUGUGUUUACGGGCCAAGUUCACGCCUCCUGAUGGGGUUUCCAGAUCUCCAUUGAGCGUUGCUCCAAUUUGAGAGACAUCUUUAUUUGCUUUUUUUUUUUACACUUGAACUGACGCUAACAGAACUUUAAGGGCGGGUGAUAAUAUUGUAAAUAACUUAUUUACCUUCACUAUUUAUUUCUUAUUUGCAAGAUCCAGACACAUUGCAAUAAAAUGAAGCAUCACUAAAGCAGGAUUUCUUUUCUUCUCCCGCUUGACGGCUUCCUCGUUAUCGCUCCAGUUAUAUAUAGUCUGGGUCAAAGGGAAGACAGUCUGCAGACCCCCAAAGGACGGAUGACUCAGUCCUUCAAAGAGACUGAAAUAGAAAGGACUAUUCACCUCCUUCGACCUCAUCUUAACCCACCUUCCCUCCUCGGACCUGACAAACACUGGGCGUACUAAAGACAACAUCCUUCUCACGACUUGCUGCCAGUAUCCUGAGAAAGGUGUACCCAGGCUCAUGCAGAAUUUCGCAG
Molecule: long non-coding RNA, 795 nt
Organism: Gasterosteus aculeatus aculeatus (three-spined stickleback)
Lineage: Eukaryota; Metazoa; Chordata; Actinopteri; Perciformes; Gasterosteidae
Source: Ensembl